RNAcentral lists this ribosomal RNA (498 nucleotides) under uncultured bacterium. RNAcentral describes it as "partial 16S ribosomal RNA". It matches the Rfam family "Bacterial small subunit ribosomal RNA", at positions 28 to 507 of the family's 1533-position model. The record is from RNAcentral.
GACGAACGCUGGCGGCGUGCCUAAUACAUGCAAGUCGAGCGGACGAAUCGAAAGCUUGCUUUUGAUUCGUUAGCGGCGGACGGGUGAGUAACACGUGGGCAACCUGCCCUGUAGACGGGGAUAACGCCGAGAAAUCGGUGCUAAUACCGGAUAACACGAAAUGUCGCAUGACGUUUCGUUGAAAGACGGCGCAAGCUGUCGCUACAGGAUGGGCCCGCGGCGCAUUAGCUAGUUGGUGAGGGAACGGCUCACCAAGGCGACGAUGCGGAGCCGACCUGAGAGGGUGAUCGGCCACACUGGGACUGAGACACGGCCCAGACUCCUACGGGAGGCAGCAGUAGGGAAUCUUCCGCAAUGGACGAAAGUCUGACGGAGCAACGCCGCGUGAGCGAAGAAGGCCUUCGGGUCGUAAAGCUCUGUUGUUAGGGAAGAACAAGUAACGCAGUAACUGGCGUUACCGUGACGGUACCUAACGAGAAAGCCACGGCUAACUACGUG